Molecule: long non-coding RNA, 463 nt
Organism: Tachysurus fulvidraco (yellow catfish)
Lineage: Eukaryota; Metazoa; Chordata; Actinopteri; Siluriformes; Bagridae
Exons: 3
Source: RefSeq, a predicted model, not a curated record
CUCCUGCUCGUCUCCACGUGUGAAUGAUUCUAAACUGUUGUGUUCCCACGCCUGACGACUGUCCGGUUUGUACUUAUAACCGCACGCGUCCCUCCGUUUACUGUAGAGGUCAAGGCCAACACGUACGAGAAGUACUGGCCAUUUUAUCAGAAAUACGGAGGGCAGACAUUCCCUGAAGAGCACCUGAAGAAGGCCAUUACUGAAAUCGAGGAAAUGUGCAAUAUCCUGCACCACGAGGGCGUCGUCGUGAGGAGACCCGAACCCAUCGACUGGUCCGUCGAGUACAAAACCCCCGACUUCACGUCCACAGGUAUGUAUGCAGCCAUGCCACGGGACAUCCUUCUGGUUGUGGGGAAUGAGAUCAUCGAGGCUCCGAUGGUGUGGAGAGCUCGUUUUUUUGAGUAUCGUGCUUACAGGCCACUCAUUAAAGAAUACUUUAGACACUUUGUAUUUGCACAGAUGU